RNAcentral lists this ribosomal RNA (426 nucleotides) under uncultured cyanobacterium. RNAcentral describes it as "bacterial SSU rRNA". It matches the Rfam family "Bacterial small subunit ribosomal RNA", at positions 356 to 795 of the family's 1533-position model. Lineage: Bacteria; Bacillati; Cyanobacteriota. The record is from RNAcentral.
GGGGAAUUUUCCGCAAUGGGCGAAAGCCUGACGGAGCAAUACCGCGUGAGGGAAGACUGCCUAUGGGUUGUAAACCUCUUUUUUCAGGGAGGAAUUCAAUGACGUGUACCUGAAGAAUAAGCAUCGGCUAACUCCGUGCCAGCAGCCGCGGUAAUACGGAGGAUGCAAGCGUUAUCCGGAAUGAUUGGGCGUAAAGCGUCCGCAGGUGGCAGUUCAAGUCUGCGGUCAAAGACUGGGGCUCAACCCUGGAAAGGCAGUGGAAACUGGACAGCUAGAGGAUGGUGGGGGUAGAGGGAAUUCCCAGUGUAGCGGUGAAAUGCGUAGAGAUUGGGAAGAACACCGGUGGCGAAAGCGCUCUGCUAGACCAUAACUGACACUCAGGGACGAAAGCUAGGGAAGCGAAAGGGAUUAGAUACCCCUGUAGUC